GACGAACGCUGGCGGCGUGCUUAACACAUGCAAGUCGAACGGAAAGGCCCUUCGGGGGACUCGAGUGGGGAACGGGAGAGUAACACGAGGGCGAUCUGCCCUGCCCCUUGGGAUAAGCAUGGGUACCUGGGACUAAUACUGAUAAGGACUACGAGCUCCAUGUGCAGUGGGGGAAUGGUUUUGCGGUGUGGGAUGGGCCCGCGGCCUAUCAGCUUGUUGGUGGGGUAAUGGCCUACCAAGGCGACGACGGGUAGCCGGCCUGAGAGGGUGACCGGCCACACUGGGACUGAGAUACGGCCCAGACUCCUACGGGAGGCAGCAGUGGGGAAUAUUGCACAAUGGGCGCAAGCCUGAUGCAGCGACGCCGCGUGAGGGAUGACGGCCUUCGGGUUGUAAACCUCUUUCAAUAGGGACGAAGCGCAAGUGACGGUACCUAUAGAAGAAGCACCGGCCAACUACGUG
This 462-nucleotide ribosomal RNA is filed under the name uncultured bacterium. RNAcentral's name for it is "partial 16S ribosomal RNA". It matches the Rfam family "Bacterial small subunit ribosomal RNA", at positions 28 to 507 of the family's 1533-position model. The record is from RNAcentral.